RNAcentral lists this transfer RNA (63 nucleotides) under Hexamermis agrotis. RNAcentral's name for it is "tRNA-Phe". The record is from RNAcentral. Lineage: Eukaryota; Metazoa; Nematoda; Enoplea; Mermithida; Mermithidae.
UUAGGAUUAUUAAUAAUCUCUUAAUAAAAAAUUGAAAAUUUUUAAAUAUAGGGAUAUCAAUAA